AACGUUUUAAAGGACUUUUGAUCGCAAGGAGGAACUAAGCUUGAUCCCUUGAGCUAAUUUUAUGGAGCUUUCUUAGAAAUGGAGUUUGAGAGGUGAUUAGGAUUGUUGUGCAGUGAUAUUAUAUUGUGAAAUUGGUGGAUGAAGCAAUGAUUUAAUACAGAAAAGUAAAGAGGCAGACAACUUAAAGAGAAAGUGAGAAACUGAU
This 205-nucleotide long non-coding RNA is filed under the name Capsicum annuum. RNAcentral's name for it is "long non-coding RNA (CANN_LNC006198)". The record is from RNAcentral. Lineage: Eukaryota; Viridiplantae; Streptophyta; Magnoliopsida; Solanales; Solanaceae.